This 497-nucleotide ribosomal RNA is filed under the name uncultured bacterium. RNAcentral's name for it is "partial 16S ribosomal RNA". It matches the Rfam family "Bacterial small subunit ribosomal RNA", at positions 28 to 507 of the family's 1533-position model. The record is from RNAcentral.
GAUGAACGCUGGCGGCGUGCCUAAUACAUGCGAGUCGAGCGAACGGACGCGAAGCUUGCUUCUCUGAUGUUAGCGGCGGACGGGUGAGUAACACGUGGAUAACCUCCUUAUAUGACUGGGAUAACUUCGGGAAACCGGCGCUAAUACCGGAUGAUAUCUUGAACCGCAUGGUUCAAAAGUGAAAGACGGUCUUGCUGUCACUUAUAGAUGGAUCCGCGCUGCAUUAGCUAGUUGGUAAGGUAACGGCUUACCAAGGCAACGAGGCAUAGCCGACCUGAGAGGGUGAUCGGCCACACUGGAACUGGGACACGGUCCAGGCGCCUAAGGGAGGCAGCAGUAGGGAAUCUGCCGCAAUGGGCGAAAGCCUGACGGAGCAACGGCGCGUGAGAGAUGAAGGUCUUCGGAUCGUAAAACUCGGUUAUUAGGGAAGAACAUAUGUGUAAGUAACUGUGCACAGCGUGACGGUACCUAAUCAGAAAGCCACGGCUAACUACGUG